AAUUCUGGCACGGCAGCUCCGCCGUGCUCCAGCAACAGCAUCGCCACCCGUGGCGGUGAUCCGCCUCCAAUUGGCUGUUUUCAGCCGUUUCCAGUCGAAUUCAGCCAAAUUAGCACCAGUUUCUGCGAGAAAACACACAUAAGGCCCUCGGUGGGCCGAAAAAAUACAGAAAAUCGAGACUUACCGGCAGCGGGGCUCUCCAGUGCGGUGGCUCUUCCGGCUCGAGUCGCGAUUUGGUGUUUUGCUCUGGUCAACCUGUAGAGGAAGGAACGGUUAUCAUAAUGGUGAAAAAAUUACAUCGAACGGGAAUCGGGAAGGGCCUCAUCGAAGGCAAAAAUCGAGAAAAACUGCAGCGGCGCCGCUUGGCUUCGGCGGUGUUUUUCAGUCAAUUAGCCAUUGUUUUUCUGAUUUGGCCACAUGUGGGUUUAGAAUCAAAUUUCGAGCUAAGGAGAGAAUUUUUACCUCGUUUGGCGGUUGGAAAGUGCUC
Molecule: long non-coding RNA, 487 nt
Filed under: Carica papaya (papaya)
Lineage: Eukaryota; Viridiplantae; Streptophyta; Magnoliopsida; Brassicales; Caricaceae
Description: long non-coding RNA (CPAP_LNC007319)
Source: RNAcentral